AUGGGAGAGAAAGUGCACUGGCCAUCUCAUAAGCACAUAGAUGUUUACACCAAAGACUUGAUAAAGCAACUGAGGGAAAACAAUGUAAAUAUUGGGAAAGUAUACAACAUCAUUGGGAGCUUUUUUGGUUCAGUGGAAAAGGUCCCCUUCACGAAGAGGACACUAAGGAAUAUCUGUGGCCAGAUUAGCCGUGAACAAGCUGAAGACGACGUUCGGAAGACACUUCAAGCGUUUGCUGACAUCUGA
Molecule: ribosomal RNA, 246 nt
Filed under: Triticum aestivum (bread wheat)
Lineage: Eukaryota; Viridiplantae; Streptophyta; Magnoliopsida; Poales; Poaceae
Description: partial small subunit ribosomal RNA
Source: RNAcentral